RNAcentral lists this transfer RNA (77 nucleotides) under Advenella kashmirensis W13003. RNAcentral's name for it is "tRNA-Arg". It matches the Rfam family "tRNA". Rfam says of the family: Transfer RNA (tRNA) molecules are approximately 80 nucleotides in length. The record is from RNAcentral. Lineage: Bacteria; Pseudomonadati; Pseudomonadota; Betaproteobacteria; Burkholderiales; Alcaligenaceae.
GUCUCCGUAGCUCAAUUGGAUAGAGCACCCGCCUUCUAAGCGGGUGGUUGUGGGUUCGAUUCCCGCCGGAGGCACCA